Molecule: ribosomal RNA, 330 nt
Filed under: uncultured bacterium
Lineage: Bacteria
Description: bacterial SSU rRNA
Rfam family: Bacterial small subunit ribosomal RNA
Source: RNAcentral
CGUGUAGGCGGUUGGUUAAGUCGGAUGUGAAAGCCUGGGGCUCAGCCCCAGAAGUGCAUCCGAAACUAUCCGGCUAGAGCGCGAUAGAGGAGGGUGGAAUUCCUGGUGUAGCGGUGAAAUGCGUAGAUAUCAGGAGGAACACCGGCGGCGAAGGCGGCCCUCUGGAUCGUUGCUGACGCUGAGACGCGAAAGCGUGGGGAGCAAACAGGAUUAGAUACCCUGGUAGUCCUAGCCCUAAACGAUCAGGACUUGGGGUGCCGCCCGUUCGGGCGUCGUCCCGGAGCUAACGCGUUAAGUCCUGCACCUGGGGAGUACGGUCGCAAGACUGAA